UACAGAGGUUUCAAGCGUUGUUCGGAUUCAUUGGGCGUAAAGGGCGCUUAGGUGGCGGGGUAAGUCGGGUGUGAAAUCUCAGAGCUCAACUCUGAAACUGCACUCGAUACUGCUCUGCUUGAGGACUGGAGAGGAGACUGGAAUUCACGGUGUAGCAGUGAAAUGCGUAGAUAUCGUGAGGAAGACCAGUGGCGAAGGCGGGUCUCUGGACAGUUCCUGACGCUGAGGCGCGAAGGCCAGGGGAGCAAACGGG
This 253-nucleotide ribosomal RNA is filed under the name uncultured bacterium. RNAcentral describes it as "partial 16S ribosomal RNA". It matches the Rfam family "Bacterial small subunit ribosomal RNA", at positions 524 to 776 of the family's 1533-position model. The record is from RNAcentral.